AUGCUCACUUCAGCAGCACAUAUACUAAAAAUUGGAACGAUAUAGAAAAGAAUGUCAUGGCUCCUAAGCAAGGAUGACAACACAAAUUAGUGAAGCGUUCCAUAUUUUA
This is a small nuclear RNA of Cebus imitator (Panamanian white-faced capuchin), 109 nucleotides long. Lineage: Eukaryota; Metazoa; Chordata; Mammalia; Primates; Cebidae. The record is from Ensembl.